UCCCUCGUGGCGCAAUUGGCAAGCGCGUUCGACUGUUAAUCGAGAGGUUGUUGGUUCGAGCCCAACCGAGGGAG
Molecule: non-coding RNA, 74 nt
Organism: Diaporthe helianthi
Lineage: Eukaryota; Fungi; Ascomycota; Sordariomycetes; Diaporthales; Diaporthaceae
Source: Rfam